This 80-nucleotide transfer RNA is filed under the name Microbispora corallina. RNAcentral's name for it is "tRNA-Gln". The record is from RNAcentral. Lineage: Bacteria; Bacillati; Actinomycetota; Actinomycetes; Streptosporangiales; Streptosporangiaceae.
CGCCGAUGGGCCGGCACGGCCGUCGGCGUCCUGGUCGCCGGGCUGCUGAUGAUGGCCUGUUCGGCGCCGGACAGCGGCGC